Molecule: long non-coding RNA, 2192 nt
Filed under: Homo sapiens (human)
Lineage: Eukaryota; Metazoa; Chordata; Mammalia; Primates; Hominidae
Description: novel transcript
Rfam family: mir-675 microRNA precursor family (bases 1012-1084)
Source: RNAcentral
AGGGUGAGGGAGGGGGUGGGAUGGGUGGGGGGUAACGGGGGAAACUGGGGAAGUGGGGAACCGAGGGGCAACCAGGGGAAGAUGGGGUGCUGGAGGAGAGCUUGUGGGAGCCAAGGAGCACCUUGGACAUCUGGAGUCUGGCAGGAGUGAUGACGGGUGGAGGGGCUAGCUCGAGGCAGGGCUGGUGGGGCCUGAGGCCAGUGAGGAGUGUGGAGUAGGCGCCCAGGCAUCGUGCAGACAGGGCGACAUCAGCUGGGGACGAUGGGCCUGAGCUAGGGCUGGAAAGAAGGGGGAGCCAGGCAUUCAUCCCGGUCACUUUUGGUUACAGGACGUGGCAGCUGGUUGGACGAGGGGAGCUGGUGGGCAGGGUUUGAUCCCAGGGCCUGGGCAACGGAGGUGUAGCUGGCAGCAGCGGGCAGGUGAGGACCCCAUCUGCCGGGCAGGUGAGUCCCUUCCCUCCCCAGGCCUCGCUUCCCCAGCCUUCUGAAAGAAGGAGGUUUAGGGGAUCGAGGGCUGGCGGGGAGAAGCAGACACCCUCCCAGCAGAGGGGCAGGAUGGGGGCAGGAGAGUUAGCAAAGGUGACAUCUUCUCGGGGGGAGCCGAGACUGCGCAAGGCUGGGGGGUUAUGGGCCCGUUCCAGGCAGAAAGAGCAAGAGGGCAGGGAGGGAGCACAGGGGUGGCCAGCGUAGGGUCCAGCACGUGGGGUGGUACCCCAGGCCUGGGUCAGACAGGGACAUGGCAGGGGACACAGGACAGAGGGGUCCCCAGCUGCCACCUCACCCACCGCAAUUCAUUUAGUAGCAGGCACAGGGGCAGCUCCGGCACGGCUUUCUCAGGCCUAUGCCGGAGCCUCGAGGGCUGGAGAGCGGGAAGACAGGCAGUGCUCGGGGAGUUGCAGCAGGACGUCACCAGGAGGGCGAAGCGGCCACGGGAGGGGGGCCCCGGGACAUUGCGCAGCAAGGAGGCUGCAGGGGCUCGGCCUGCGGGCGCCGGUCCCACGAGGCACUGCGGCCCAGGGUCUGGUGCGGAGAGGGCCCACAGUGGACUUGGUGACGCUGUAUGCCCUCACCGCUCAGCCCCUGGGGCUGGCUUGGCAGACAGUACAGCAUCCAGGGGAGUCAAGGGCAUGGGGCGAGACCAGACUAGGCGAGGCGGGCGGGGCGGAGUGAAUGAGCUCUCAGGAGGGAGGAUGGUGCAGGCAGGGGUGAGGAGCGCAGCGGGCGGCGAGCGGGAGGCACUGGCCUCCAGAGCCCGUGGCCAAGGCGGGCCUCGCGGGCGGCGACGGAGCCGGGAUCGGUGCCUCAGCGUUCGGGCUGGAGACGAGGCCAGGUCUCCAGCUGGGGUGGACGUGCCCACCAGCUGCCGAAGGCCAAGACGCCAGGUCCGGUGGACGUGACAAGCAGGACAUGACAUGGUCCGGUGUGACGGCGAGGACAGAGGAGGCGCGUCCGGCCUUCCUGAACACCUUAGGCUGGUGGGGCUGCGGCAAGAAGCGGGUCUGUUUCUUUACUUCCUCCACGGAGUCGGCACACUAUGGCUGCCCUCUGGGCUCCCAGAACCCACAACAUGAAAGGUGAAGCUAGAGGAACCAGACCUCAUCAGCCCAACAUCAAAGACACCAUCGGAACAGCAGCGCCCGCAGCACCCACCCCGCACCGGCGACUCCAUCUUCAUGGCCACCCCCUGCGGCGGACGGUUGACCACCAGCCACCACAUCAUCCCAGAGCUGAGCUCCUCCAGCGGGAUGACGCCGUCCCCACCACCUCCCUCUUCUUCUUUUUCAUCCUUCUGUCUCUUUGUUUCUGAGCUUUCCUGUCUUUCCUUUUUUCUGAGAGAUUCAAAGCCUCCACGACUCUGUUUCCCCCGUCCCUUCUGAAUUUAAUUUGCACUAAGUCAUUUGCACUGGUUGGAGUUGUGGAGACGGCCUUGAGUCUCAGUACGAGUGUGCGUGAGUGUGAGCCACCUUGGCAAGUGCCUGUGCAGGGCCCGGCCGCCCUCCAUCUGGGCCGGGUGACUGGGCGCCGGCUGUGUGCCCGAGGCCUCACCCUGCCCUCGCCUAGUCUGGAAGCUCCGACCGACAUCACGGAGCAGCCUUCAAGCAUUCCAUUACGCCCCAUCUCGCUCUGUGCCCCUCCCCACCAGGGCUUCAGCAGGAGCCCUGGACUCAUCAUCAAUAAACACUGUUACAGCAA